This is a long non-coding RNA of Musca domestica (house fly), 411 nucleotides long. RefSeq lists it as uncharacterized. Lineage: Eukaryota; Metazoa; Arthropoda; Insecta; Diptera; Muscidae. The transcript is spliced from 2 exons. The record is from RefSeq and is a predicted model, not a curated record.
AACGAUCAAUAACAACAGCGGCGGCAGCAGCAGCAGCACUACCUCUUCGGAAAAGUGAUUGUCCACAAAGCAAAUUUGAAGUUCAAUUGGUGAAGGUACCGUUCGCAGUCGUCGAGGUAGUAGUGAUUGUAAAUAAUCGCGUGGCUACUUGUUGUGUGGCAAUAUGGGUGGCGGCGGCGACUACCAACAACAAUAACUUUUAAUUUUUGGUUUUUUUCUCUCUUCUUUUUCGUUUUGUUUUUUGUUGUUUUUUUUUUUCUCCCCAAAACCGUAUUUGUAUAUCCGGCGGAAACGUUAUGUUUGCGACUUCAGGUUGCUGCGAUCGAUGCCUUUAUUCAAAUGCUAUUGAAUUUUGGUAGAACGUGUGUGCGCCUGUGAGUGAUGGUGUAGUUUUGAUUUUAAAAUAAAUUU